Molecule: unclassified non-coding RNA, 300 nt
Filed under: uncultured Melanommataceae
Lineage: Eukaryota; Fungi; Ascomycota; Dothideomycetes; Pleosporales; Melanommataceae
Description: sequence contains 5.8S rRNA gene, ITS2
Rfam family: 5.8S ribosomal RNA (bases 1-91)
Source: RNAcentral
CAGAUGUGUAUAAGAGACAGGUGAAUCAUCGAAUCUUUGAACGCACAUUGCGCCCUUCGGUAUUCCGUUGGGCAUGCCUGUUCGAGCGUCAUUUAAACCUUCAAGCUAUGCUUGGUGUUGGGUGUUUGUUCCGCCUCAGCGCGUGGACUCGCCUCAAAUUCAUUGGCAGCCGGUAUGUUGGCUUCGUGCGCAGCACAUUGCAAGCGAUUUCAGCAGACCCCCUUCCACAAGCCUUUUUUUACUUUGACCUCGGAUCAGGUAGGGAUACCCGCUGAACUUAAGCAUAUCAAUAAGCGGAGG